AUGAACGCUGGCGGCGUGCCUAAUACAUGCCCGUCGAGCGCACAGAUGAGGAGCUUGCUCCUCUGACGUUAGCGGCGGACGGGUGAGUAACACGUGGAUAACCUACCUAUAAGACUGGGAUAACUUCGGGAAACCGGAGCUAAUACCGGAUAAUAUAUUGAACCGCAUGGUUCAAUAGUGAAAGACGGUUUUGCUGUCACUUAUAGAUGGAUCCGCGCCGCAUUAGCUAGUUGGUAAGGUAACGGCUUACCAAGGCAACGAUGCGUAGCCGACCUGAGAGGGUGAUCGGCCACACUGGAACUGAGACACGGUCCAGACUCCUACGGGAGGCAGCAGUAGGGAAUCUUCCGCAAUGGGCGAAAGCCUGACGGAGCAACGCCGCGUGAGUGAUGAAGGUCUUCGGAUCGUAAAACUCUGUUAUUAGGGAAGAACAAAUGUGUAAGUAACUAUGCACGUCUUGACGGUACCUAAUCAGAAAGCCACGGCUAACUACGUG
RNAcentral lists this ribosomal RNA (496 nucleotides) under uncultured bacterium. RNAcentral describes it as "partial 16S ribosomal RNA". It matches the Rfam family "Bacterial small subunit ribosomal RNA", at positions 29 to 507 of the family's 1533-position model. The record is from RNAcentral.